AGCCCAGCAGGGCCAGCAGACAGCACAGGCUGUCCCACAACAUUGUCUCUUUCAAACCGAUAGGGAGGAGAGUCCGGGAGCUGAGGGACAGAGAUGGACGGACAUCAGACAGUGGUGGAGGAUUGCCAACGUCUUGGGUUUCAAUGGCUGCGGUUACAUUCUGGGAUGAAGCUCUCACUUACAAAGAGCUUCUCUCCGCUCCAACCACCCACAGCGCUUCCCGCUGCUCCCUGCACUAUGUCUCGCAAACAAACCUGCUGCAAUAAAGUGUGACAUCAUAUCAA
Long non-coding RNA from Syngnathus acus (greater pipefish), 284 nucleotides. RefSeq lists it as uncharacterized. Lineage: Eukaryota; Metazoa; Chordata; Actinopteri; Syngnathiformes; Syngnathidae. The record is from RefSeq and is a predicted model, not a curated record. The transcript is spliced from 2 exons.